Rattus norvegicus (Norway rat) is the source of this 1365-nucleotide long non-coding RNA. RefSeq lists it as uncharacterized. Lineage: Eukaryota; Metazoa; Chordata; Mammalia; Rodentia; Muridae. The record is from RefSeq and is a predicted model, not a curated record.
GACUUUCAUACGUGUAUGUGUAUGACUUCUGUGAUGUGUCUGUGAGAGUUUUCCUUCUUACUGUAAGUUUAGGCUACACUGUCCUCCCUAGAGACGUGCAUGAGUUUGAUCUACCAGGCAAAGAAUCGGAGUUGCCUUUGAAGCCCAUGGCAGAACUGGGAAUAAAUACAUGAAUCCCAGGGGGUUCUGUCUGUGUGGUCUGGAUGCCCACUUAAACACUAGUCAAGAUGGAGUGGAUACCGCUGUGAACCCAACAACUUCAGCCUAGGCAAAAGCAACAGGCAUUAGGCUGGGAGCUCAAACCUCAAAGUGAACAGAGCCUGGUUAGAGUCUGGGGACGUGUUGACAGGCAGGUGGCCACCACAAGCAGGUUAUAGAGAAUCCAUCACGUACCCAGUGGGAAGAAGGGCCUUAGGGUGAGCUGCAGUAGCCACCAAAGAUGAAGGCAGAGGGUAUCCAGAGAACAGCUAUGACCGACUAGGAUUUGUUACUUUUUGCCCCAGCUUCAACCUUUGGAGGAUUCUGGGAGUUGCUUGAUAUUCUCUAAUACAUGCCUAUUCCUUCCUCAGUGGGUUAGAUUGGACUCUUGUUCUUUGCUGUUAAGAACUCCAUGUAACAUAAACAUAUAAUGUUGUCCCUAAUUUAUGUAAACAAAUCACAUGCAAAUGAUUCCCUUGUGCCUGGAAACUCCAUGUUGAGUAAUUGAGAUGGAACCCGGCUGCUAUUCAGUAACAAAGUGGUUUUGUUACGUCCUGUGUCGCUACUAAGUAACAUCCGACAUCAUGUCUGAGACCUAAAAACCACUAGUGAGCCCACGACUGAAGGAGGGCCUAGUAUGUAUGUAAUUGGUGAGAAUGGACAGACACAAGGACUACUGUUACUUCUCGAGGCUCCAAUUCCCAAGAAGACAUGGUGUUCAGCUGUAUCUUCGAAGAUGUACCCGUCCAAAGGGAGCUUGGUCUCCACGGGUUAGGCAUGCAGAGAGACACAGAUGUUCACGGACCCCCAACCCACCCGCAAGGCACACUGUCAGAGAUUAGAGCACAAAUACAAACACCCAGGCAAGAUCACAUGAUCACACAGCGAGAGAUUCCUGCAAAGACAAGAGGGAGGCAGGCCCAGAAGAAGCCAACCUCUCCCCACCCUUUUGUCCACAAGUCUUGGUUUUCAGUACGGGAAGAAAACUCUAUUUUAAGCCACCUGAUCCUCGGUAUUUUAUCAUGGCUGCCAUGCGGACUACUACGGAUUCCCAGGUUCUGAAACUUCCCCAAGGUCUCACGCUUAGCGAGAGCCAGAGUGAACAUCAGUUCUCAAGUCUUACACCUUGUAAAUCCCUUAUGGAAUAAAAUAUUUUACAUAUGGAAA